This 402-nucleotide ribosomal RNA is filed under the name uncultured prokaryote. RNAcentral's name for it is "bacterial SSU rRNA". It matches the Rfam family "Bacterial small subunit ribosomal RNA", at positions 355 to 774 of the family's 1533-position model. The record is from RNAcentral.
UAGGGAAUAUUGGUCAUCUGGGGAACCGGGGACCAGCCACGCCGCGUGCGCGAUGAAGGCCUUCGGGUUGUAAAGCGCUUUUUGAGAGGAUGAGGAAGGACAGUACUCUUAGAAUAAGCCUCGGCUAACUACGUGCCAGCAGCCGCGGUAAAACGUAGGAGGCGAGCGUUAUCCGGAUUUACUGGGCGUAAAGCGUGUGUAGGCGGUUUGAUAAGUUGGAUGUGAAAGCUCCUGGCUUAACUGGGAGAGGUCGUUCAAAACUAUCAGACUUGAGAGUGGUAGAGGGAGGUGGAAUUCCGCAUGUAGUGGUGAAAUGCGUAGAUAUGCGGAGGAACACCAGUGGCAAAAGCGGCCUCCUGGCCCAUUUCUGACGCUCAGACACGAAAGCUAAGGUAGCAAACG